UUCGCCCUUAGAGUUUGAUCAUGGCUCAGGAUGAACGCUGGCGGUGUGCCUAAGGUAUGCAAGUCGAGCGACCCUUCGGGGGAGCGGCAGACGGGUGAGUAAUGCACAGAUAUCUGCCUUAAAGUCCGGCAUAGCCCCACGAAAGUGGGAGUAAUUCCGGAUAGUCCCUAAAUCUUUUAGGUUUAGGGUAAAGAUUUAUCGCUUUUUGAUGAAUCUGUGUCCUAUCAGCUUGUUGGUAAGGUAAAGGCUUACCAAGGCUAAGACGGGUAGCUGAUCUGAGAGGAUGGUCAGCCACAAUGGCACUGAGAUACGGGCCAUACUCCUACGGGAGGCAGCAAUUAGGAAUUUUGCACAAUGGGGGAAACCCUGAUGCAGCGACACCGCGUGAAGGAUGAAGAUUUUCGGAUUGUAAACUUCUUUUAUAGUCUAACAAGUUCUGAGUGGACUAUGAAUAAGCACCUGCUAACUGCGUGCCAGAAGCAUCGGUGAUGCGUGGGGUGCAAGCGUUAUCCGGAAUUAUUGGGCGUAAAGAGAUGCGUAGGCGUUCUGAUAAGUUUAUUGUUAAAUACUUCAGCUCAACUGAAGGGAUGCAAUGAAAACUAUCAGAAUUGAGAUAGAGAGGAGUAAGUAGAAUUCCCGGUGGAGCGGUGAAAUGUGUUGAUAUCGGGAGGAAUACCAGUGGCGAAGGCGACUUACUAGCUCUAUUCUGACGCUAAGGCUCGAAAGCGUGGGUAGCGAAACGGAUUAGAUACCCGUGUAGUCCACGCUGUAAACGAUCUUCACUAGAUGUUGGAUAAGCUGAUUUAUGGAAACUUGUUUCUGUUUAUCAUCAAGUUCAGUGUCGUAGCUAACGCGUUAAGUGAAGCGCCUGGGGAGUACGGUCGCAAGACUAAAACUCAAAGGAAUUGGCGGGGACCCGCACAAGCGGUGGAGCGCGUGGUUUAAUUCGAUGGUAAUCGAAGAACCUUACCAAGGCUUGACAUAUAGCUGCAAAGCCCAUGAAAGUGGGAAUCCUUCGAGGGUGCUAUACAGGUGCUGCAUGGCCGCCGUCAGCUCGUGUCGUGAGAUGUAGGGUUAAGUCCCGAAGCGAGCGCAACCCUUAUCCCGUGUUAUAUGUGUCUCGGGAGACUGCCUCGGUAAAACGAGGAGGAAGGUGGGGAUGACGUCUGGUCCUCAUGGCCUUUAUGCCUUGGGCGACACACGCGCUACAAUGGCCGGUACAAAAGGAUGCCAAACCGUAAGGUGGAGCAAAUCCUAUCAAAGCCGGUCUCAGUUCGGAUUGAGGUCUGAAACUCGACCUCAUGAAGUUGGAAUCGCUAGUAAUCGCAGAUCAGCCAUGCUGCGGUGAAUACGUUCUCGGGUCUUGCACACACCGCCCAUCAUGUCACGAAAGCUGGGGGUGCCCGAAGUUAUCAUGUCUCGCUUGCGAGAGUAGGUAACGAAGGUAAACUCGGUGAUUGGGAUAAAGUCGUAACAAGGUA
This 1481-nucleotide ribosomal RNA is filed under the name uncultured bacterium. RNAcentral describes it as "16S ribosomal RNA". It matches the Rfam family "Bacterial small subunit ribosomal RNA". The record is from RNAcentral.